UCCAAAGUGCCUAGCGGCAAAAUUCACAUACAUUAAGCGUGGAGAACAGGGGUAUCGAGAAUUUCAAUCCGCACCACAACACAUCAAAUGUCUCUGUAGCCCUCUUGAAUACUGCAACCACUGUCAAGUGAUUUGGAAAAAAAAAUUCUUAUUAUUAGUAAGUUUUUUUAUGUGACCUCUUUAUUAAGUGUGUUGAAAGGACACACACAACACAUUGAUGUACUUGAGAGGCAGUUAAUAACUACUCUUGUUUUAAGAAUUAUUUCUUACAACUCCAUAAGCAUUAAAAACUAUUUAAUUCAUGUAAAAAAAAUAACAUGAUAAAAAUAUUUUCUAAGAAAAAUGUGACUGAAAUUGUCAAAUUUAAUUAUGUUGUGAUUAUCUUUCUUUCCCUACUUUUGGUUACAACGAAUGUUAACGGUAAUAGUUGAUUUUAUCAUUUUUUAAGUUUUCUUAUUUACUUCGUACACAAUAUUUUAUCUCCUUAUAGUAACAUUAUUUUAUUCUCUUAUUUUAUUAUAGCGGGGUUUAAAUGCUUGCAAAAUUCCGAUUGUCCACAAAAUUGGUGCCCGCUUCCUUUUAAGCCGAGGUGUAGUUACAGUUGGUGUAUAUGUGUUAAAAAAAAAGAAUGAUAUCUUAUGAUUGGUAAGAUUUUUAUGUGACCCGGGUGUGGUUGGUAACACAAAUAAGCUAGCUUAUAGCUUAUUAUAUGAGUUUAUAAGCUUGUUUCAAAAAAUUAGAGGUGUUUGGUAACAAACUUUUUAAACUAGCUUAUAGCUUUUUUUCAGAUGCUAUUUCAAGUAGCGUUUGAGCUUAUAGCUUAUAGCUUUUUACACUAUAUUCCAUUUUUACCCUUCAAUUUAAUAACUACCCACUCUAAAAAAAAACUACCAACUAUCAAUUAUGUAAUUUUAUAUUUAAUAAUCACUUUAAAAGCUAAUUUUACCAAACACUUUAAUUUCAAUAAGCUAGCUUUUCAGCUAUCAGCUAUAAGCUAGCUUUUCAGCUAUCAGCUAGCUUAUAGCUUAUUUUUACCAAACAGACCCUAAGUAAGUGUAUUGAAGUGACGAAGGGUGUGUUUGGUAACAUAAAUAAGCUAGCUUAUAGCUUAUUAUAUGAGCUUAUAAGCUUGUUUCAAAAAAUUAGAGGUGUUUGGUAACAAGCUUUUUGUACUACCUUAUAGCUUUUUUUCAGAUGCUAUUUCAAGUAUCAUUUGAGCUUAUAGCUUUUUACACUUUAUUUCAUUUUUACCCUUCAAUUUAAUAACUAUCCACUCUAAAAAAAACCUACCCACUAUCAAUGAUGUAAUUUUAUAUUUAAUAACCACUUUAAAAGCUAAUUUUACCAAACACUUUAAUUUCAAUAAUCUAACUUUUCAGCUAUCAUCUAUAAGCUAGCUUUUCAGCUAUCAGCUAGCUUAUAGCUUAUUUUAACCAAAGAGACACAAACACAACACAUUGAUGUAAAAACAAUUAAUAACAAUUCUUAUUUUAGGAUAUUCUUUUCCAACUUCAUAAGUGCUAAACACUAUUUAAUUUAUUAUAUGUAAGAAGAGAAUAGGAUUUAUAAAUCAUAAAGUCAUAAAAUCAUAUUCUACUUGAUACAUGGAAAUGGGGAAAAAUAAGACUAAAAUCGUCAAGUUCGUUCAUGUCAUGAUUAUCUUGAAUUACAUAAUUCUCUUCGCAAUGAUUAUUGAUGGUAAACCUUUUCUUUAUCAUUCUCAAAUUUCUUUAUUUACGUCAUAUACAAUAUUUUUAUCUCAUCAUAGUUACAUUCUUUUAUUCCCUUUUUNNNNNNNNNNNNNNNNNNNNNNNNNNNNNUCUCUUCAUUACAGCGGGUAACAGAUGUUUUCAAGAUUCUGAUUGUCCACAAAAUAUGUGCUCUCCUCCUUUUAAACCGGGGUGUUUUUAUGGGUGGUGUGUACCAGAGUUAAUCUUAGAAUGAUGCUAUAGAUUCUAGAUGUUUUCUCUUUGGGUCCCCGAUGUAUCUUUUAUAUCCCAAAUAUUCCAAUUUUGCCCUUGAUAAAAUCUUCGGUUCGCAGAAACCGAAGUUUUUUCUAGUUCAAAUUCAGGAAAAUUUUGGUUAACAGAAACUGUAUUUUUUUUUUCAAGGCAAAGAAAAUUCGAUUCGUAGAAACCGAAAUUUUUAUUGAAGGACAAAAAAGUAAAAUCCAGAUGAUGAAAAAGAACCAUGAAGGCCUAAAGAGAAAACAUCUAGAUUCUAUAUAUGAGUGCCAAAAUCAAGAGAGUUGUACACAACAGGCUUGUAGAAUUGCUAAAAAAAAAAAGGCUUGUAGAAUACUUCUAUGAGUUAUCAUUUAGUUAUUACGUCACUCAUUUAACACUUGUAUGACUCUAUGAACUAAGCUUAGUGUGUGUUUGGUUUCACGUUUGGAAGUCUAGACGCGCGUUUGAUUUGCCUCCACCAUGAAAAGUGAAAAAAAAAUUAUAUUUGGCUUUGUCAUUCAGAAUCAAUUCAAGGGAUCCAAAAUCAAUUCUCAUGGAAGCAACAAUUCGUAGCUUCUACGUUGAAGAGAAUCAAACGCAAAAAAAAAAAAUAGUUUUUCUUGAUAUUGAGUAAUGUGUCUUUAAUAUAUUUUGCCAUUUCAAAUUAAAAUUUGUACCUAUAACUAUAGUGAAAAUGAUUAAGUAAUUAAAAUAACCAAUUAUUCUACUUUCACAAUUAUCAUAACUCAUAAGAAUGACAUGUAAUAGGGAUUAGUUGUUUUUUAUGUAUGUUUAUACAUUGAGUUUGGUCAUUUUAAUAUUAAUUUAAAUUAUAAGAUCAUCCUCCAACCAAAUAAAUGCGUAAGAAUCAUUUUUUCCAUCUCUUUUUCUAAUUUAAUGCUACUAAUUAUCUUUUUGUUACACUAAACAUACACAACUUUAUCUUUAUUUGAAUUUUCUUCAGUUUUAGAAACAAACAACAAUUUUUAUUUUUCACUCAAUUCUACUAUAUUUUUAUUUAUAUAUUUGAGAAAAUAACAUACAAUAUAAAUAAUUACCAAAUUAACCUAAUUUAAUAAGUUGACAUAUAUAAGUAAAAGAAUAGCUAAUUUUGUCGAAAUAACUCAAAAUUGGACCUAGAUUUACUCUUUUUGUUUCACUAAACAAACAAAACAUUGUCCUUAUUUGAAUUUUUCUCAAUUUUUAACAACAGACAACUUUUUUAUCACACUCAAUUCUAUUCUAUAAUUUUGGUUUUAUUUACUCUAAUAUAUAUGAAAAAUAUCAAAGUAAUAUAUAUUUAAAAAAUCGCAGGAUAAAUGUUUGUAUUGAUACCUAAAACGUUACGGGCAAUGGUUGACCACUGCUAUAAAAGGAUUAAAUCCAAUUUUGGUCCUAUAUAUUUAAUUAUUUGAAGUUUUGAUCCCCUAUUUUAAAAAUUAAUUUAUUGAAUACACGAAAAAAAAUCAAUUUAUUGGUCCAUCUAUUUCAAUUUUUAUGACUUUUGGUCACCAACAAAAUUUUGGCUCAAUUUUAAUGAUGUGGCAGAGCCACUUAUCAGAAAUGUGAUCAUGUAUAUAAAACAGCUACAAAUGGAUUGUUUUUUUGUAUGAACAUUGGAAAUAUAAGGUGGAUGGUGAGAUAAAUGAGGAAAGGUAAUUCACAAUUACCCUAACAAGAAAAAUUUCAAAUCUUUCUUUCAAGAGCUAAUAAAAGAAGGCAAAAGAACCGGAACUUACAGCAAAAGAAUGAUCACACUAAUACCCGUUACAGCGAAUCAAUCGUUAGUUGGUAUAAUGAUUAUUUGUGCUAUAUUUGGUAGGAAGGAUUAUAGUUUGAUCCCCU
This 3791-nucleotide long non-coding RNA is filed under the name Trifolium pratense (red clover). Its description in RNAcentral is "long non-coding RNA (TPRA_LNC011552)". The record is from RNAcentral. Lineage: Eukaryota; Viridiplantae; Streptophyta; Magnoliopsida; Fabales; Fabaceae.